GCUUCUCCUUUCCGGUAUGACACCAUAACUCCCUACAACACAUCGAGGUUAAACUCUUUUCUCUUCGCUGCGCAUCUUCUUCUCCAAUUCAUUCAUUCAUUCUGUUCUCGAUUUCGAUUCGUUCUGUUAGACGUAGGGCACGCAACUUAUUUCUUCUCGAGACGGACCUGUUGCGGUUGUGAAGUGUGAUUCAAGGGAGAUAUCUACUAUGGGUACGAAUCGAUCCGAGGCUCUGCACAAUUUCUCGAUGCCGCGCAAAUUGCGGUGGGCGAAGCAGCGUCAUCUCCGUUGCAGGAAUGUCGGAAAUAAUCUGCAAAUCGCAGUGGGCGGUGGCUUCGCCGCCAGGGACUCUGGUGCUUCCGAUGAAGCGUAUAAAAUUCGAAUCCAAAAGCUACGUAUGGUGAGCGACAAUACCGAGGCAUCAAAGCGUGCGGCGGAGGAAGCGAAACUCAAUUUCAAUGUCCCCGAGUUUUUUCUGCUAGCGAAUGACGCUCUAAAGGACGUACCCGAGGAAGGCGAGGUCUCUGUUCCUCCGCAACUCUCGCCACAGCUGCCGAAUCAUGCGGCGGAGUCAAGCGGAGCUAAGAGAAACUGUUCGUGGAACUUGCGGAAGAGGCGAGAUCCCUGUUUGGCGUCGGAGAACGGGAUCGCCGAUGGCAAGGGUUUGAAGGUCGAUUCUCCGCGGCACGACCCAGGAGUUUCCGCUGCGAAGUCUCCAAAUCACAGAGGUAAUGGCAGAGUCGAGAAAUCGAAGAGGCCGAAGUUCUCAUUGUCUCUUUCAAAAAAGGAAAUCGAAGAAGAUUACUUCAACAUAUUUAAUCGCCGCCUGCCGGCCAAACCGAAGAAGAGGCCUAAGGCGAUUCAGAAGAAUUUGGAUGGUCUGUUUCCAGGUUUGUAUCUUACUGAAGUUACCCCAAGCAUGUACGAAGUUCCCAAACCAACUCGAUGAUUUUUGAGUUCUGAGGAGUUGAAAGCUGGAGGCCUGUGUUCUUUUGCUGCUGAAGAUGUUCAAUUAUGAUGAGUGGUGGAUUUCGUUGGCUAUGCACCGGGGAUGACUUCGGAAAAUUUUCAUAUAUUGUUUAGUUCGAUCUUUCUUCAGCAUGCUUUUAGGCUUGCCUCUGAUUCAUUUAUGUGAAGUCUAUACCAGCAACCACUUAAGAUCAAAUUGUUCUUAAGGUGAUUGUUAUGUGAUCUUUAGAAAUUUGGUAGAAACAGUUUCAUUCUCUUAUUCUCCAUAUUGUUUAAAUUGUGAAAUUGCUUUCAUGUUUUUUCUUUUUGUCUCUAUACUUAUUAUUCAUCAUCAUUGUUACCUAACGAUUGUAGACUAUAUGAACCCUUUUUUAUUAGGAUUCUUUAAGCUAUUUCAGAUUUAUCCCAAUUCAAAAUCGGGGUGUCUUGAAAACAGCUUAUGUGAAGAACAAACUCAUCAUCUUUGUUUGUAAGAACAGAGAUCAGAGCUUUUCAAAGCUACAACUAGUCAGUCACCUUAAUCAUAAAUAAGUACUUAAAGAAAGAAUCUUGAAGCAAGGCAUGACAAACUCCUAUGAAUAUUGCUUUGUUUUUACUUAUACUUCACGGCCCUUUUCUUAAUUAUAUAUAUUCUUCUUUUCUUUCUUAGUUUUUCACAAAACAAUUCAGGUUUUCUC
Molecule: RNA transcript, 1646 nt
Organism: Andrographis paniculata
Lineage: Eukaryota; Viridiplantae; Streptophyta; Magnoliopsida; Lamiales; Acanthaceae
Exons: 4
Source: RefSeq, a predicted model, not a curated record